RNAcentral lists this transfer RNA (65 nucleotides) under Pheidole fervida. RNAcentral describes it as "tRNA-Cys". Lineage: Eukaryota; Metazoa; Arthropoda; Insecta; Hymenoptera; Formicidae. The record is from RNAcentral.
UAUAUUAUAGUUUAAUAAAAACAUUAAUUUGCAAAUUUAAAGAUAUUUAUUUUAGAUUAGUAUAU